RNAcentral lists this long non-coding RNA (678 nucleotides) under Trifolium pratense (red clover). RNAcentral's name for it is "long non-coding RNA (TPRA_LNC009679)". Lineage: Eukaryota; Viridiplantae; Streptophyta; Magnoliopsida; Fabales; Fabaceae. The record is from RNAcentral.
CCUCCUCUGCCAAUCUCUCUCUUUCUCUCUCUCUCCCUCUCUCUCUCUCUCGUUUUUUCACUUUCCAUGUUCUGUAUUUUUUUUCUGUCAAAUUCCCCAAAUAUGAAGAAGAGAGGCAGCAGCUCCUAAUGUGUAUUUAGGUUUCAUUUAUCUGAUGUCAAACUCACUGUUUGCAUAAACCAGCAAACAACCCAUUGUUUGCAUAAACCAGGAAAUUGAUCAUUACAUUACAUCAUGAUGACAUCAUGCCAUGUGACCAGCCAAUUGUUUGCAUAAACCAUCAAAUAGAAUAAAACCAGAAAAAUAGAGUAGAAAAAAUGGGAGAGAAGACAGUUUUGAGUUUAUGAAUGCUUCAAUACAAUACUACAUGUUUCUUACAUAUUUAAGCAUAAUACAUAGCAAAACACAGCUUAUACUUUGCUGAGAUGAUAAGAUAUGUUGUUCACACCAAAAUGGUCCUUAAAAGAGUAUGACCUUGAUAUUGAGAUCCACUAAUGGCAAAGGAUGGAAAUUAAAUAUUGUUUGGUACAUUAUAGCAUAAGUUACAAAACAGAUAGAGGAGUUAGAGUUGAAGGAUAGCUAGAGAGAGAUCUAGAGCAUAUAAUAGUACUUACUUUGGUAGAAUUUCUUCCGAUUGCUGGAUGUUGACGGAGCAUGCAGGGUAGUUUUAACACCAAU